GCUGAUAUAGCUCAGGCGGUAGAGCGCAUCCUUGGUAAGGAUGAGGUCGGCAGUUCGACUCUGCCUAUCAGCACCA
Molecule: transfer RNA, 76 nt
Filed under: Vibrio sp. FNV 38
Lineage: Bacteria; Pseudomonadati; Pseudomonadota; Gammaproteobacteria; Vibrionales; Vibrionaceae
Description: tRNA-Thr
Rfam family: tRNA
About the family: Transfer RNA (tRNA) molecules are approximately 80 nucleotides in length. Their secondary structure includes four short double-helical elements and three loops (D, anti-codon, and T loops).
Source: RNAcentral